AAUAGAUACCCUGGUAGUCCACGCCGUAAACGAUGGAUGCUAGCUAUUGGGGGGAAUCGACCCCCUCCGAAGCGAAGCUAACGCGUUAAGCAUCCCGCCUGAGUAGUACGAGCGCAGGCUUAAAACUCAAAGGAAUUGACGGGGACCCGCACAAGCGGUGGAGCGCGUGGUUUAAUUCGAGGGUAAACGAAGAACCUUACCAAGGUUUGACAUCCCGGUAGCCGUUCUCCGAAAGGAGAAUUUCAUUUAGUUGGACCGGUGACAGGUGAUGCAUGGCCGUCGUCAGCUCGUGUCGUGAGAUGUUGGGUUAAGUCCCGCAACGAGCGCAACCCUUAUGAUUUAGUUGGAUUUUUCUAAACAGACUGCCCUGGUAACAGGGAGGAAGGAGGGGAUGAUGUCAGGUCAGUAUUUCCCUUACACCUUGGGGCGACACACGCGCUACAAUGGCCGGUACAAUGGGCAGCUAAGCCGCGAGGUGGAGCAAAUCCCAUCAAAGCCGGUCCCAGUUCGGAUUGCAGGCUGAAACCCGCCUGCAUGAAGUCGGAAUCGCUAGUAACCG
Molecule: ribosomal RNA, 559 nt
Filed under: uncultured bacterium
Lineage: Bacteria
Description: bacterial SSU rRNA
Rfam family: Bacterial small subunit ribosomal RNA
Source: RNAcentral